Molecule: transfer RNA, 87 nt
Filed under: Actinomycetota bacterium
Lineage: Bacteria; Bacillati; Actinomycetota
Also listed under: 2 other names
Description: tRNA-Leu
Rfam family: tRNA
About the family: Transfer RNA (tRNA) molecules are approximately 80 nucleotides in length. Their secondary structure includes four short double-helical elements and three loops (D, anti-codon, and T loops).
Source: RNAcentral
GGGCGAGUGGCGGAAUUGGCAGACGCGCACGGUUCAGGUCCGUGUCCGGUAACCCGGGUGGGGGUUCAACUCCCCCCUCGCCCACCA